This 483-nucleotide ribosomal RNA is filed under the name uncultured bacterium. RNAcentral describes it as "partial 16S ribosomal RNA". It matches the Rfam family "Bacterial small subunit ribosomal RNA", at positions 28 to 507 of the family's 1533-position model. The record is from RNAcentral.
GAUGAACGCUGGCGGCGUGCCUAACACAUGCAAGUCGAACGAAGCUUGACGGAUGAUUUCUUCGGAAUGAAACCAGAUAUGACUUAGUGGCGGACGGGUGAGUAACACGUGAGCAACCUGCCUUUCAGAGGGGGAUAACGGCUGGAAACGGUCGCUAAUACCGCAUGAUGUGUUCGGAUGGCAUCAUCUGAACAUCAAAGAUUUAUCGCUGAAAGAUGGGCUCGCGUCCGAUUAGAUAGUUGGUGGGGUAACGGCCUACCAAGUCUACGAUCAGUAGCCGGACUGAGAGGUUGAACGGCCACAUUGGGACUGGGAUACGGCCCAGACUCCUACGGGAGGCAGCAGUGGGGAAUAUUGCACAAUGGGGGAAACCCUGAUGCAGCAACGCCGCGUGAAGGAUGACGGUUUUCGGAUUGUAAACUUCUUUUCUUAGUGACGAAGACAGUGACGGUAGCUAAGGAAUAAGCAUCGGCUAACUACGUG